Molecule: ribosomal RNA, 303 nt
Filed under: uncultured bacterium
Lineage: Bacteria
Description: partial 16S ribosomal RNA
Rfam family: Bacterial small subunit ribosomal RNA
Source: RNAcentral
AGCAGUCGCCGCGGUAAUACGAAGGGGGCUAGCGUUGUUCGGAAUUACUGGGCGUAAAGCGCACGUAGGCGGAUAUUUAAGUCAGGGGUGAAAUCCCGCAGCUCAACUGCGGAACUGCCUUUGAUACUGGGUAUCUUGAGUAUGGAAGAGGUUAGUGGAAUUGCGAGUGUAGAGGUGAAAUUCGUAGAUAUUCGCAGGAACACCAGUGGCGAAGGCGGCUAACUGGUCCAUAACUGACGCUGAGGUGCGAAAGCGUGGGGAGCAAACAGGAUUAGAUACCCGCGUAGUCCAUGUCUCUUAUAC